RNAcentral lists this transfer-messenger RNA (359 nucleotides) under Thermoanaerobaculia. RNAcentral's name for it is "Gp7-AA6 sp003222385 Standard tmRNA". It matches the Rfam family "transfer-messenger RNA". Rfam says of the family: Bacterial tmRNA, also known as 10Sa RNA or SsrA, is named for its dual tRNA and mRNA-like properties. Its role is to liberate the mRNA from a stalled ribosome. RNAcentral also lists the same sequence under 2 other names. Lineage: Bacteria; Pseudomonadati; Acidobacteriota. The record is from RNAcentral.
GGGGGCGAAACGGCUUCGACGGGGACGAUCAUUCGACAGGUUGCAUGCCGAGGUUCACUCCCCUCGUAAAAAAAGGGUGAAAAACAGUAGCUGCGAACAACAGCAACUUCGCUCUGGCUGCUUAAUUAAGUAGCCGCGUUCGUCGGAUAGCGCACCCGCCGCGCUCCGGCGGACGUCGCGAAAUGCGGGUGUAGCCGGUUCGGUUCCCCGGACGGACCGGCGAAAUCAAUUCGGGGUUGCCCUGCCGCCGUUUUGCCUUUUCUCGAGGCGGCGGGGCGAGAAUCGAGAAAAGGCUGAGCAUGGAGUAGCCUCUCGCCUGACGCUUCCGGACGCGGGUUCGACUCCCGCCGCCUCCACCA